Cyprinus carpio (common carp) is the source of this 1091-nucleotide long non-coding RNA. Lineage: Eukaryota; Metazoa; Chordata; Actinopteri; Cypriniformes; Cyprinidae. The record is from Ensembl.
GGCCGAGCUCCGAAAGUCCUUAUUUCUUGUGCGCUCUUUUCGAACUCUUCUGAAGCCAUACAGUACUGGUCAAAAUGUUAGAAUAAUUAAGUUUUUGAAUGAAGGCUGCAUUUAUUUAAUCAAAAAUAGUCAAAACAGUAAUAUAGUGAAAUAUUAUUACAAUUUAAAAAUAACUGUUUUCUAUUUAAAUUUAUUUUCAAAUUUAUUCCUAUGAUGCAAAGCUGAAUUUUCAGCAUCAUUACUCCAGUUUUCAGUGUCACAUGAUCCUUCAGAAAUCAUUCUAAUAUGCUGAUUUGCUGCUCAAGAAAUAUUCGUUAUUAUCAAUGUUGACAACAUUUGGGCUGUUUGAUAUUUUUACAGAAAAUGUGAUAUACUACCAUCUAAAUGAUACUUCUAUUCAGCAAAAACAUUGAUAAUUAUCAGAAAUGUUUCUGCAAAUCAGCAUAUUAGAAUGAUUUCUGAAGGAUCAUGUGACACUGAAGACUGGAGUAUUGAUGCUGAAAAUUCAGCUUGGCAUCAGGAAAAUAAUAAAUGCAAAUAAAUGCAGCCUUGUUGAGUAGAGGAGACUUCUUUCAAAAACAAAUUAAAAAUAUUAAAUCUUAGAAAACUGACACAAGGGUAAGUAAAUAAUGAUAGAAUUUUCAUUUUUGGAUAAACUAUUAAUGUAUCAUGCAUAUUUUCUCUGUGUGUGUGUGUGAGUGAGUGAGUGACUGAAAUCUGGUUGAUGUGCAUUAGAUUUUCAUUGCGUCUGAAGAGAAACGGCUUCUGUCAGAUCUCUGUGCUGUUUCGAUUCCCCCUCACGUCAGCGUGACACGCGGCUCUGAGUCAUGCAGGCUGGGACGGCUCCGCAGUUCUGCAGCAUCACUGCAGACUCUCUCACGCACCGACGCUGUCUCAACAGUCCACGGUCACUCUGCUAAUGCAUUUCACGCGAGGCCGAUACCAAGCUGAGCUCCAUCUGCACCGCACUGCUACUCAUAUCAAAGAGGGAGCGAGUGACAGAAGGGAUGAGAGAAGCCGACUAAAAUGUGUGAAAGAAAUGUGCGGCGGACUCUAGGCUGCAUCCCUUCAGCAACAUAUGGGCUCCUAAU